RNAcentral lists this ribosomal RNA (253 nucleotides) under uncultured bacterium. RNAcentral describes it as "partial 16S ribosomal RNA". It matches the Rfam family "Bacterial small subunit ribosomal RNA", at positions 524 to 776 of the family's 1533-position model. The record is from RNAcentral.
UACGGAGGGAGCUAGCGUUGUUCGGAAUUACUGGGCGUAAAGCGCACGUAGGCGGCUUUUUAAGUCAGGGGUGAAAUCCCGGGGCUCAACCUCGGAACUGCCCUUGAAACUGGGAAGCUAGAAUCUUGGAGAGGCGAGUGGAAUUCCGAGUGUAGAGGUGAAAUUCGUAGAGAUUCGGAAGAACACCAGUGGCGAAGGCGACUCGCUGGACAAGUAUUGACGAUGAGGUGCGAAAGAGUGGGGAGCAAACAGG